UGUCAGACCAUCUGCAGCUGUUGUCGGUCAACCAUUGAUCUGACCUCUGAGAGGAUUCUUCCAUGCUGGCAAAAUCUCCCAUGGGAAGUUCUAGAGAAAAUUCAAGGAAGAUCUACAGUUUUGACAGUUUUGCAGUGCUUGCUUCUGGCUUAUUCAGCUUGUUCUUCCCAGUUCCAGCCAGUACCUGAAACACACCAGCAGUUCCUGGAACUGCGUGACCUCCAGGAAGGCUCAGCAUGGACCAAUACACAGAGCACAGACUAAAACAUAUGUACAGAUGAACCCUGUUUGGUUUUUUGGGGGUGUUUUGUGGGUUUGUUUGUUUUUGGUUUGUUUUUAAUGAAGACUCCAAGAUGAGGCAAUGGCCUGAGGAAACUGCAGAAGGAUAAAGCAGAUCUAGUGGAUCACCCUGGGGACAUCAGCUGAAUCAACAUUAGCUAAAUUUACUAGACUUUCUUCCACAUCUUGAUUUCAGUCUGCUC
Molecule: long non-coding RNA, 482 nt
Organism: Gymnogyps californianus (California condor)
Lineage: Eukaryota; Metazoa; Chordata; Aves; Accipitriformes; Cathartidae
Exons: 3
Source: RefSeq, a predicted model, not a curated record